Molecule: ribosomal RNA, 260 nt
Filed under: uncultured prokaryote
Description: partial 16S ribosomal RNA
Rfam family: Bacterial small subunit ribosomal RNA
Source: RNAcentral
UACGGAGGAUCCGAGCGUUAUCCGGAUUUAUUGGGCUUAAAGGGUGCGCAGGCGGGAUGUUAAGUCGGCGGUGAAAUUUUGCAGCUCAACUGUAAAAGUGCCUUCGAUACUGGCUUCCUUGAGUGUGGAUGAAGUAGGCGGAAUUUGUGGUGUAGCGGUGAAAUGCUUAGAUAUCACGAGGAACUCCGAUUGCGCAGGCAGCUUACUAAACCACUACUGACGCUCAUGCACGAAGGCGUGGGGAGUCAAACAGGAUUAGA